ACUCGAGUGGCGAACGGGUGAGUAACACGUGGGUGAUCUGCCCUGCACUUCGGGAUAAGCCUGGGAAACUGGGUCUAAUACCGGAUAGGACCACAUUUUGGAUGGUGUGGUGGAGAGUUUUUCGGUGUGGGAUGAGCUCGCGGCCUAUCAGCUUGUUGGUGGGGUAAUGGCCUACCAAGGCGUCGACGGGUAGCCGGCCUGAGAGGGUGUACGGCCACAUUGGGACUGAGAUACGGCCCAG
This 241-nucleotide ribosomal RNA is filed under the name uncultured Actinomycetales bacterium. RNAcentral's name for it is "partial 16S ribosomal RNA". It matches the Rfam family "Bacterial small subunit ribosomal RNA", at positions 89 to 334 of the family's 1533-position model. Lineage: Bacteria; Bacillati; Actinomycetota; Actinomycetes; Actinomycetales. The record is from RNAcentral.